Molecule: unclassified non-coding RNA, 575 nt
Filed under: Aspergillus latus
Lineage: Eukaryota; Fungi; Ascomycota; Eurotiomycetes; Eurotiales; Aspergillaceae
Description: sequence contains 18S rRNA gene, ITS1, 5.8S rRNA gene, ITS2, 28S rRNA gene
Rfam family: 5.8S ribosomal RNA (bases 199-352)
Source: RNAcentral
UCGUAACAAGGUUUCCGUAGGUGAACCUGCGGAAGGAUCAUUACCGAGUGCGGGCUGCCUCCGGGCGCCCAACCUCCCACCCGUGACUACCUAACACUGUUGCUUCGGCGGGGAGCCCCCCAGGGGGCGAGCCGCCGGGGACCACUGAACUUCAUGCCUGAGAGUGAUGCAGUCUGAGCCUGAAUACAAAUCAGUCAAAACUUUCAACAAUGGAUCUCUUGGUUCCGGCAUCGAUGAAGAACGCAGCGAACUGCGAUAAGUAAUGUGAAUUGCAGAAUUCAGUGAAUCAUCGAGUCUUUGAACGCACAUUGCGCCCCCUGGCAUUCCGGGGGGCAUGCCUGUCCGAGCGUCAUUGCUGCCCUCAAGCCCGGCUUGUGUGUUGGGUCGUCGUCCCCCCCCCCGGGGGACGGGCCCGAAAGGCAGCGGCGGCACCGUGUCCGGUCCUCGAGCGUAUGGGGCUUUGUCACCCGCUCGAUUAGGGCCGGCCGGGCGCCAGCCGGCGUCUCCAACCUUAUUUUUCUCAGGUUGACCUCGGAUCAGGUAGGGAUACCCGCUGAACUUAAGCAUAUCAAUAA